This 250-nucleotide long non-coding RNA is filed under the name Setaria viridis. RNAcentral's name for it is "long non-coding RNA (SVIR_LNC006905)". Lineage: Eukaryota; Viridiplantae; Streptophyta; Magnoliopsida; Poales; Poaceae. The record is from RNAcentral.
CGAAACCUGACCAAAUGACCGCCAAAAAUCACGAAAAUUGAACCAUAGCAUCACAACAACAUUCCAAAGGUGUUCUCAAAGUUGCCUACAUGGUGGUUUUGAGGCCCGAACCACCAAACCCUCUGCACACCCAUCUGGCAUGACUCACACCCGCUUUUGAGGUCAAAUCGGUCAAACCCUCUGCACGCCCUCCUGGUGUGACUCACCACCUAUUUUUGAGGUCAAACUGGUGAAACCCUCUUGCACGCCC